RNAcentral lists this ribosomal RNA (497 nucleotides) under uncultured bacterium. RNAcentral describes it as "partial 16S ribosomal RNA". It matches the Rfam family "Bacterial small subunit ribosomal RNA", at positions 28 to 507 of the family's 1533-position model. The record is from RNAcentral.
GACGAACGCUGGCGGCGUGCCUAAUACAUGCAAGUCGAGCGAACAGACGAGGAUCUUUCUCCUCUGACGUUAUCGGCGGACGCGUGAGUAACACGUGGAUACCCUCCCUCUAAGACUGGGAUAUCUUCGUGAAACCGGAGCUCAUACCGGAGAAUAUCUUGCUCCUCAUGUUUCAAUAUUGAAAGAGGCUUUUGCAUUCACUUAUAGUUGGUUCCGCGCCGCAUUAGCUAGUUGGUAAGGUAACGGCUUACCAAGGCAACGAUGCGUAGCCGACCUGAGAGGGUGAUCGGCCACACUGGAACUGAGACACGGUCCAGACUCCUACGGGAGGCAGCAGUAGGGAAUCUUCCGCAAUGGGCGAAAGCCUGACGGAGCAACGCCGCGUGAGUGAUGAAGGUCUUCGGAUCGUAAAACUCUGUUAUUAGGGAAGAACAAAUGUGUAAGUAACUAUGCACGUCUUGACGGUACCUAAUAAGAAAGCCACGGCUAACUACGUG